RNAcentral lists this long non-coding RNA (378 nucleotides) under Arabidopsis thaliana (thale cress). RNAcentral describes it as "long non-coding RNA (ATHA_LNC000164)". Lineage: Eukaryota; Viridiplantae; Streptophyta; Magnoliopsida; Brassicales; Brassicaceae. The record is from RNAcentral.
AAAUCAGCUUUGGCUAUGGCUUCUUCGACAGCUUUGUCUCUCUCAUGGAGCUCCUCUCCUUGUUGGUCACACAGCUUCAAUGGCGGUGCAAAUGAAACCCUAAAAGUAUCUGAGCGAAGGUUCAAUUUUGAAGUUGUUUCCCAGAAGAAAGCUAAGAAACUUCGCAAGGUAAAAGUCAUUACCUUUCAUGGGUUUCCUUCAAAAAUUUGAUUUGGCUUUUAGUUAGUUUUUGAUUUGAGCUUGUGUUUCUGAAGAAUUUUGGUGGAGAUGAAAGUAAAAGACUUGAAGAUGCUUAAUUUAUGGGUUUAGUGUAAAAACAUCGUCUUUGUUCUUGUAUCAGCGUAGUUAGGAAGAAAGAUGAAUCAACAUUAGAAAAGU